RNAcentral lists this long non-coding RNA (981 nucleotides) under Pan troglodytes (chimpanzee). Its description in RNAcentral is "long non-coding RNA NONPTRT015142". Lineage: Eukaryota; Metazoa; Chordata; Mammalia; Primates; Hominidae. The record is from RNAcentral.
AUGGCAGCUGAGACGAGUGGGUCUCGAAUGAUGGAUGUGGCCCCCUGGAGCCAGCCCUCUAGGUCCUGCCUGUUUCUUGCCUGCCUCACCCAGUGGCAUCACGAUGAUGGUAAAACCAGCCAGGGCUGAGCCAGUAAGGGUGCGGGUGAUGGCGAACAUUACAUAGCUGACGGAGGCUGCAGAUGCCAGGCCCAGCACCAGGGUACUCACGUAGGCUACCAGCAGCAGACGCCGCCGCCCAAACCUGCAAAGGGGUCAUGCAGGGUCAGUUCCCUGUGGAAGGAGGUUCUAAGGCAUAGGUAGACUAGGCUCAUACCCCAGCUAGUGGGAGAAAGUUCCCCCAGCCAGUUUCUUAUUGGCCCAGUGCCUCACCCCACCUGUCGGACAGAUAUCCAAAGGCCACAGCCCCCACCAGCACACCGGCGAAGAAGAAAGUGGACGCAGCUCUGUUCAGACCUUUCUGCUCACACACCAGAUCCCACUGCAAGGACAGGCAGAAAGGGACCUCCCAUGAACAUCAGCCCCUCUCCAGCAGGCACCAGCUCCUCCUCUCCAGACCCUGGAGCCUUCUGAGGCGAACUCUGCCAUUCUGGUACCUCCAUGCCAGAUAAUAAACCUCCCAACGAUUCACGCCAGCUUGGGGAAUAGGAAACUUUGUCCCUCCCCAGUCCUGCAGCCUCAGCUUCUUCCCAAGGAAGGCCUCGACCUGCUGCCUCCCAGGGAGACUGCCUCCACCGACAUUCCACCUCCAGAUGGAUUAUGUAAAUACCGACCUGGGACUGGAAAAGAGGAAGGGAGAAAAGAAGGCCUCUAUUGUUUCUCCACCUCUUGCUGCAGAAAUUGCCUUCUCAGCUCUUUGUCUCAACUCCCUGAAGCCACUUUAGCCCUUCCCUGCCUUAAUCACCUCCCAAUUAAUGAUGAUGAUAACAGUUCUUGUGUAGGAUCCUGUUACUACAAGCCAUGAACUAAAAGUGCCUUAUA